GUUCUUGCUGUGCGCCCUGCGUUUUUAGUAAAUUACACAAACCACCACAUUAGUGGUUAGGGUUACAGGUUGGUACCGGUCUAUGUUUUAUUUACUAAAAACCACCGGAUUACACUAAUCAUCCAAUUGCUAACGAAUAACUCCAAAACUGACGAGGUGGGUCACCGGUCAGGCCAAUGCCGUGCGAGCCUGGCAACUGACUUAACCAUCUCUUCUUCCUCCUUCUCUGUUCCCGAUACAGCAGCAGCAAUGACGUCCAUCUCCUGCUUCCUCCACAAGUCCACGGCCCGGCUCGCCAUGUCCUCUGCCUAUCCCGCCCCGCCCUCCUCUGCCCACCCCAGCUCCUCUGUCUGCCCGCCCUGACGCCAACUCCCCUGCCCGCCCCGCCACCGCCCACCACGCCGCGCCGUGCCCUCUUCUCUGUCCGCAACCACCCGCCCCGCCUCGCCAGCUCCUCUUCCCGGCCCGUCCCUCCCCGGCACCGCCCGCUCUGCCUCUCCCUCCUCGCCGGCGGCGCCGCGGCCGCCUCCGCGCGCCUGACUCCCACCGCGACCUCCAAUCUUCGUGUGCCCGCUGCGCUCCAGGCCGCCGGUUAUCUCUAGCACCUGCAGCGGUGGCUUUGCGCAGGCGCUGCUCCAGCUCCAGGCCGCAUGUCGAGCAGGUGGCGGGCAUCGAUGCAGCGCAUCUAUGUUGAGGAGCGCAUCACCGGCCACAUGUUCAGUGAGCUCGAUGAAGACAUCGGAGAUGGUCGUGGACGAUGUCGGUCUCGCCAUUGAGGUCGAUGCGUUGCUUGACGAGGGUCACCGCCAUGGCGCCAUCGCUGCUUGGAUGGACUCGAAAAUCUCCUGCGCAAGUGGUGUGAGGGCCGCCAUGAUUUCAGCUCGACGGGAUCUUGUUCUUCACCAGCACUGCAUGGGAGAAGAGAAGGAGGGACUACUCACGUGGCGCCAAGUAGGACCUGACAGGUGGGCCUAUCAUGUCAGUUAUGGCCUUAGGUGCUAACGAUUUGCUGUGUAGUUCGAUUAGUACAGAACCGGUGGUUUUUAGUAAACAAAACGUAGACUGGUACCGAAUUGAAAUCCUAGCCACUAAUGUGGUGGUUUUCUGUAAUUUACUCUGCGUUUUUUUUUACGGAAAUUAUUGUGUUUUCCUGGCC
Brachypodium distachyon (stiff brome) is the source of this 1156-nucleotide long non-coding RNA. RefSeq lists it as uncharacterized. Lineage: Eukaryota; Viridiplantae; Streptophyta; Magnoliopsida; Poales; Poaceae. The transcript has 2 exons. The record is from RefSeq and is a predicted model, not a curated record.